AAACUAAAAAAGGACCCAUGAGAUAAAGAGGCCUUCAAAGAGAGGAAUGGGAGAACAACACAGCGUGUAAUUUGAAAGUGGAUGAGGGAUGCCUUUAAUCCCAGCACUCGGGAGGCAGAGGCAGGACCAAGCCUAGGGAAUUGUGCCACCCACAGUAGGCUGGUUUUCCCUGUAUCAAUUAACAAUCAAGACAAUCUCCCAUAAACAUGCCUGCAUGACAACCUGAUGCAGAAAAUUCCUCAUGAAGACUCUCUUUCCAGCCACCCGCAAGCAUGUCAAGAGGCAAGCAUGUCGAGAAAAGGAUCGUUAAUUGUGCCAAGAUCCUCAGCAGUGUCCCAUCAUCCACCAGGCCCUCCCGCUCCUGAGCAGCCUGGGCUGCAGGUCUGACAGACCUUUGCAGAACAAAAUCCCCUGUGCCCACCACUGCUUCUGCUCUCCCAGAAACUCUUUCUGAGAAGUCGUAUCUGGGAAGGCUUGGGCUGGGUCAUCCCUGAGUCAUCCUCCCUGGACGCAUAGUUCUCAACAUUCCUAGCACUUGGAAGAAGACAGGGACAGGGCUGGGUAUCUGCCAGGCUGGGAAUCCAACCCAAGUCUUCUGGAAGAACAACCAGUGCUCUGAAAUCAUUGAGUCAUCCUUCCAGUCCGACAAGAGCUAAUUAGAAAAGUUACAGGAUCUGCCCCAGACCUCAUCACAGGGCAAGGUAAUGGUGCCUCUAGAGAAUCAAUCUGGAGUGGUGGGACCCAGAGCCAAGGCUGCGCCACCGCCUUGUAGGACCUGCUUCUUCAGCCUGACCAUCCUGUGUGUCCCAGCUUGGAGUGGUACCAAGCACACAGCAUCUACCCCCUACCAUCAUUA
Molecule: long non-coding RNA, 856 nt
Organism: Peromyscus eremicus (cactus mouse)
Lineage: Eukaryota; Metazoa; Chordata; Mammalia; Rodentia; Cricetidae
Exons: 4
Source: RefSeq, a predicted model, not a curated record